RNAcentral lists this ribosomal RNA (492 nucleotides) under uncultured bacterium. Its description in RNAcentral is "partial 16S ribosomal RNA". It matches the Rfam family "Bacterial small subunit ribosomal RNA", at positions 29 to 507 of the family's 1533-position model. The record is from RNAcentral.
AGUGAACGCUGGCGGUAGGCCUAACACAUGCAAGUCGAACGGCAGCACAGUAAGAGCUUGCUCUUACGGGUGGCGAGUGGCGGACGGGUGAGGAAUACAUCGGAAUCUACUUUUUCGUGGGGGAUAACGUAGGGAAACUUACGCUAAUACCGCAUACGACCUACGGGUGAAAGCAGGGGAUCUUCGGCCCUUGCGCGAUUGAAUGAGCCGAUGUCGGAUUAGCUAGUUGGCGGGGUAAAGGCCCACCAAGGCGACGAUCCGUAGCUGGUCUGAGAGGAUGAUCAGCCACACGGGAACUGAGACACGGUCCAGACUCCUACGGGAGGCAGCAGUGGGGAAUAUUGGACAAUGGGCGCAAGCCUGAUCCAGCCAUACCGCGUGGGUGAAGAAGGCCUUCGGGUUGUAAAGCCCUUUUGUUGGGAAAGAAAAGCAGCAGGUUAAUACCCCGCUGUUCUGACGGUACCCAAAGAAUAAGCACCGGCUAACUUCGUG